CGACUAUGGCGGCGAUGGCGGUGGCGCUGCGGGGAUUAGGAGGGCGCUUCCGGUGGCGGACGCAGGCCGUGGCGGGCGGGGUGCGGGGCGCGGCGCGGGGCGCAGCAGCAGGUCAGCGGGACUAUGAUCUCCUGGUGGUCGGCGGGGGAUCUGGCGGCUUGGCUUGUGCCAAGGAGGCCGCUCAGCUGGGAAGGAAGGUGGCCGUGGUGGACUACGUGGAACCUUCUCCCCAAGGCACCCGGUGGGGCCUCGGCGGCACCUGCGUCAACGUGGGCUGCAUCCCCAAGAAGCUGAUGCACCAGGCGGCACUGCUGGGGGGACUGAUCCAAGAUGCCCCCCACUAUGGCUGGGAGGUGGCCCAGCCCGUGCUGCAUGACUGGAGGAAGAUGGCAGAAGCUGUUCAAAAUCACGUGAAAUCCUUGAACUGGGGCCACCGUGUCCAGCUUCAGGACAGAAAAGUCAAGUACUUUAACAUCAAAGCCAGCUUUGUUGACGAGCACACGGUUUGUGGCGUUGCCAAAGGUGGGAAAGAGAUUCUGCUAUCAGCUGACCACAUCAUCAUUGCUACUGGAGGGCGGCCGAGAUACCCCACGCACGUGAGUGUCCCCAGAGCACAGUGUCCCUGCUACCAUGGCCCAUUCCCGGCCUCUUUGAGGGAUACACUUUUACACACGCGCUUCCCACAGCGGCAGCUUGCACACCCUUUCCCCCUAUACUCACUAUCAUCACUUUCUGCUUUCCAAUUCUCUUGAAUCCACACUGCUGAAAUGUGGAGUCCCCAGUGGCCUCCAUGCUGCCAGAUCCUCAGGACAGCUCUCGUUCUGCUCUCCCCCUGCCCCGCUGGAUCCGUGCCCUUCCACACCAGGAUCCUGCUUCCUAAGUCUCCAUUGCUGAUUCCCCCUUUUCCCUU
Molecule: small RNA, 910 nt
Filed under: Pongo abelii (Sumatran orangutan)
Lineage: Eukaryota; Metazoa; Chordata; Mammalia; Primates; Hominidae
Description: retained intron
Source: RNAcentral